ACUUUGCUUGGCACUUCUCUAUCCUGCCACCAUGUGAAGAAGGACGUGUUGCUUCCCCUUCCACUAUGAUUCUGCAUUUCUUGAGACCUCCCGAGCCAUGCAGAACUGGUCUCUUUCUGCCUCCCAAGCUGGAAUGCCAUGAUGCGAUCUUGACUCACUUCAGCCUCAGCCACCCGGGCUCAGGGCUCAGGUGAUCCUCCUACCUCAGACUCCUGAGCAGCUGGAACUACAGGAAUUGACUUGCUUUGGCCAAGAAAUGUGAGCAGAAGUGAUGAGAACCACUUUCAACCAAAGUUUUAAGAGUCAUCAUAUGAAGAUACUUGAGGCCUCCUUAAAUUAGUUGCAGUAACACAUGGAACAAGAGAUCCACAUUCUCCAACAAUAUAGAAACCAGAAUUCAGCAGCUCUGCAAGAAAUCUAGUCAACACAUUUAUUAUGAUGAUUUAUUAUUCACUGAGCACCAACUCAGUGCUUCUUAUAACAGGAAAAAUAAACUUCUUUUCUAUUUCAGAUAUUUUAAAAUAUAAACAAAAAUAAAUGGAAGAAAGAAAUA
Molecule: long non-coding RNA, 553 nt
Organism: Homo sapiens (human)
Lineage: Eukaryota; Metazoa; Chordata; Mammalia; Primates; Hominidae
Exons: 4
Source: RefSeq, a predicted model, not a curated record